GAGCGACAUCAGCUAAGCGAGACUACCCGCUGAACUUAAGCAUAUCAGUAAGCGGAGGAAAAGAAACUAACAAGGAUUCCAUUAGUAACUGCGAGUGAAAAUGGAUUAGCCCAAGGUUGAAUCAGGCUGGCCGACGCCAGUCCGAAAUGUAACCUAAGGAUUAGGGAUGUCUGGUGUUGAGCGCAAAUAAUUUUAGUGGAAACUAAAGCCAAAGAAGGUGAUAGCCCUGUAUUUGUUGCGCUCCAGCAUUGGAAUAUUUUCCCUGAUUCCACGAGUAGGAAUGUUUGAAAUUGCAUUCUGAAUGGGUGAUAAGACGCAUCCAAGGCUAAAUAUAAGUUAGGAGACCGAUAGCAUACAAGUACUGUGAAGGAAAGGUGCAAAGGACUUUGAAAAAAGGGUUAAAAGCAUUUGAAACCAUUUAUGUGGAAGCGAUUGAUCUAGCUACUCGCAACAGAUAGGGUAUUAGUGGAAGCUUAGAUUAGUUUGUACUUUAUUGAUGAUGAAAGCCUAAAAAACUUUAGUCGUUUCUUGAGUGCAGGCGGAUUUUUAAGUUAUUACCAUUUUUACCUGUUGCCAGCCGCCAUGAUACGUCGAUUUAGUAGUCUGUAUCGAGAGUUUAUUGGCUUGCCUUUAAACUUCUUUAUGGGAGAAAAGUUGAUUAUUAUGGUCCGAUUAUUAAGGUUAAUCAAUUUAUUUGUUAUGGUAGUUAAUAUGUUUUAUUUAUUGGCUUGUGUUCACCGAUUAGACAUUAGUCUAGUUGACUGACCUGGUUGAUACUUGGGAUGUAUUUGGCUGCUGUAAUAGAAGCGGUUAGCUGAAAUUAUUUGGUUGGAAUGAGAGGUAGACAAUCGUCCCGUCUUGAAACACGGAUCAAGGAGGCUCCUUUAUGUGCGAGUCUAAGGGUGAUUAAAACCUGGAGGCGUAUUGAAAGAAAGAAUACUCUGAAAGAUCGUAUGUAAAUAUCUUCUGUAAAGAGUGCCCGGAUCAUGAGGAUUCUAUUCCGAAAGGAUCUGCGGUUGAGCACAUAGAGGAGGACCCGAAAGGAUGUGAACUAUGCUUGAGGAAGGCGAAGCCAGGGGAAACUCUGGUGGAGGCUUGUAGCGAUACUGACGUGCAAAUCGUUCGUCUAACUUGAGUAUAGGGGCGAAAGACUAAUCGAACAUCCUAGUAGCUGGUUCCUCUCGAAGUUUCCCUCAGGAUAGCUGGAACCCAUCAGAACACUAUUACCGUCCUGUAAAGAUAUUGAUUAGCAGACUCGGGGGUGUAACGCCUUCAGCUGAUUCUCAAACUUUGAACGGGCGGAAUCUAUAUGAUUGUUUUUAAUUAACAGUUAUAUUAAUGAGAGAGCUUGACAAACUUUCUCAGAUUAUAGUAGGUUCCUAGUGGGCCAUUUUUGGUAAGCAGAACUGGCGAUGUGGGAUGAACCAAAUGUUGGGAUAAGGCGCCCAACAACUGCUAAUAGAUACCACAAAAGGUGUUAGUUCAUUAUGACAGCUGGACUGUGGCCAUGGAAGUCGGCAUCAGCUAAGAAGUGUGUAACAACUUACCAGCCAAAUGAACUAGUCCUGAAAAUUGAUGGCGCUACAGCAGUUGGCCGAUGCCCAACCGUUAAAGUGAUUUAAAACCCAUUUUAACGAGUAGAGAGGCGUGGAGGUAACGUCGAAGUAUGGCUGUAGAGUCGUAUGGAGUUGCCUCUAGUGCAGAUCUUGAUGGUAGUAGCAAAUAUUCAAAAGAACGACUUCACUUUGAAGGCCGAAGUGGAGAAGGGUUCCAUAACAAUGGAAUUCAUUUAUGGGUCAGUCGGUCCUAAGCCUUGGGUGAAAACUCUCAAAUAUGGUAUACUUGUCUGAUUGAGCGGGUCUGUAGCAAUAUGGGUUCGUUUGGUUGGAGUAAAACUUGUAUACUAUAAGGGCGAAAGGUAAUCGAAUUAAAAUUUUCGAACCAAUAGAUAAAAGUUUGAGGGUAACCAAUUAUAGUGUGACUAUCAAUUCUGGGCGGAGGCAGAGUUAUCUUUUCUAUCUAACACCAAUUUGCUUCCUAAAAAAAAGCUUGGGGGCCACUGAAUCAGGUCAACUGGAGAAGUGGUUCUUAUGGUGAAAUAGUACCGACCAUUGGUUGGUAUCUCCUGUCCUAGAAUUGGUCCUUGAAAAUCGCUCUAUAUUAUUAAAGUAUAGUUUACUAUGCUGGCUUUUAUUUAUUGUCCGUACCAAUAACCACAUCAGGUCUCCAAGGUGAAUAGCCUCUGGCCAAAUGUAUUAAUGUAGAUAAGGGAAGUCGGCAAAACCGAUCCGUAACUUCGGGAUAAGGAUUGGCUCUAAAGACUGGUUUUGUCGACUAUAAGAAGAUUAGUUGGAUUUAGUUGAGAUUGUUAGGGGCAACUUUGACAGUUUCUUCUUGUCUGAUUAAUAGUGUCUUAUAGAGACAUCGGGGCAACUCGGUGUCGACUUCGGCGAUUCAUUUAACAGUUAAUUUAGAACUGUAACGAUCACCGGGAAUCCAACUGUUUAAUUAAAACAAAGCAUUGUGAUGAGCCUAACGGCCAUUGACACAAUGUGAUUUCUGCCCAGUGCUCUGAAUGUCAAAGUGAAGAAAUUCAAAGUAGCACGGGUAAACGGCGGGAGUAACUAUGACUCUCUUAAGGUAGCCAAAUGCCUCGUCAUCUAAUUAGUGACGCGCAUGAAUGGAUCAAUGAGAUUCCCACUGUCCCUAACUACUAUACAGCGAAACCACAGCCAGGGGAACGGGCCUGGCCAUUACAGCGGGGAAAGAAGACCCUGUUGAGCUUGACUCUAGUCUGAUAUUGCAUAGUGACCCGGGAGGUGUAGAAUAGGUGGGAGGGGCAACCCGACGGUGAAAUACCACCCCUUCUGGCGUUACUUUGCUAACUUGGAAUUAACAAUACAGUCUUUGAAUCAUUUCUUAGACUGAUUAUAGCCACUUUAUUCGGUAAAUCCACGGUCGAGGCAGUAUUUAUUCUUGCAGCAAUGUUGGGGUAGGUAUUGUAGUAGAUCCACUGGACCCGGAUUAACUGUCGACCAAGGACAGUUUCAGGUGGGGAGUUUGGCUGGGGCGGCACAUUUGUUAAAAAAUAACGCAAGUGUCCUAAGGGUGGCUCAGUGGGAACAGAAAUCUCACGUAGAGUAAAAGGGCAAAAGCCACCUUUAUUCUGACUUUCAGUACUAGUCGGAAAGACGAAAGUCUGGCCUAUCGAUCCUUUACAUGCCUUUGUCUUAGGCUUAGAGGUGUCAGAAAAGUUACCACAGGGAUAACUGGCUUGUGGCAACCAAGCGCUCAUAGCGACGUUGCUUUUUGAUCCUUCGAUGUCGGCUCUUCUUAUCAUUGCGAAGCAGAAUUCGCAAAGUGUUGGAUUGUUCACCCUCUAACAAGGAACGUGAGCUGGGUUUAGACCGUCGUGAGACAGGUUAGUUUUACCCUCCUGUAUAUCUAAUUAACUGCGUAACGAAUAUCUUGACGGUAGCAUGAUUUAGUACGAGAGGAACUGUCAUGCCUGAUCUCUGGUCUGUAGGUUUGUUCGACAGGACAGUGACCUGCAGCUACCAUCAGUUGGAUAAUGGCUGAACGCCUCUAAGCCAGAAUCCAUGCCGGAAGUUUAGAUAUUUAAACUCGU
Molecule: ribosomal RNA, 3628 nt
Filed under: Heterostelium multicystogenum
Lineage: Eukaryota; Evosea; Eumycetozoa; Acytosteliales; Acytosteliaceae
Description: eukaryotic LSU rRNA
Rfam family: Eukaryotic large subunit ribosomal RNA
Source: RNAcentral